UUCUUGACAGUCCAAUGAUCAAGACUCUGUACUUCCACUGCCAUGGCCCAGGUUUGAUUCCUGGUCAAGGAG
Molecule: transfer RNA, 72 nt
Filed under: Bos taurus (domestic cattle)
Lineage: Eukaryota; Metazoa; Chordata; Mammalia; Artiodactyla; Bovidae
Also listed under: 4 other names
Rfam family: tRNA
About the family: Transfer RNA (tRNA) molecules are approximately 80 nucleotides in length. Their secondary structure includes four short double-helical elements and three loops (D, anti-codon, and T loops). Further hydrogen bonds mediate the characteristic L-shaped molecular structure. tRNAs have two regions of fundamental functional importance: the anti-codon, which is responsible for specific mRNA codon recognition, and the 3' end, to which the tRNAs corresponding amino acid is attached (by aminoacyl-tRNA synthetases). tRNAs cope with the degeneracy of the genetic code in two manners: having more than one tRNA (with a specific anti-codon) for a particular amino acid; and 'wobble' base-pairing, i.e. permitting non-standard base-pairing at the 3rd anti-codon position.
Source: Rfam by way of RNAcentral